AGUGAACGCUGGCGGUAGGCCUAACACAUGCAAGUCGAACGGCAGCACAGUAAGAGCUUGCUCUUACGGGUGGCGAGUGUCGGACGGGUGAGGAAUACAUCGGAAUCUACUUUUUCGUGGGGGAUAACGUAGGGAAACUUACGCUAAUACCGCAUACGACCUACGGGUGAAAGCAGGGGAUCUUCGGACCUUGCUCGAUUGAAUGAGCCGAUGUCGGAUUAGCUAGUUGGCGGGGUAAAGGCCCACCAAGGCGACGAUCCGUAGAUGGUCUGAGAGGAUGAUCAGCCACAAUGGAACUGAGACACGGUCCAGACUCCUACGGGAGGAAGAAGUGGGGAAUAUUGGACAAUGGGCGCAAGCCUGAUCCAGCCAUACCGCGUGGGUGAAGAAGGCCUUCGGGUUGUAAAGCACUUUUGUUGGGAAAGAAAAGCAGCAGGUUAAUACCCAGCUGUUCUGACGGUACCCAAAGAAUAAGCACCGGCUAACUUCGUG
This 492-nucleotide ribosomal RNA is filed under the name uncultured bacterium. Its description in RNAcentral is "partial 16S ribosomal RNA". It matches the Rfam family "Bacterial small subunit ribosomal RNA", at positions 29 to 507 of the family's 1533-position model. The record is from RNAcentral.